AUGGAGAAGAUGAUGAAGGAUCUUGGCUUGCGGGAGGAAGAUCUGGACGAUGUCGUGUUUGAUGAGAAGGAGGCCCCGCCAGAUGUUGUUCGAUGGAUCGCUUUGGCUAGGGUUCACUCAAGCAAGACAUAUAGUCAAUUUUGGUUCUUCAAGAACAUGAGGGCUGCGUGGGAUCUCGCACAAGAGGUGAAGUUUGAACCUUUGGAGGAUAAUCUAUACACGAUCCAAUUCUCUUGUUUAGGAGAUUGGGAG
RNAcentral lists this ribosomal RNA (252 nucleotides) under Triticum aestivum (bread wheat). RNAcentral's name for it is "partial small subunit ribosomal RNA". The record is from RNAcentral. Lineage: Eukaryota; Viridiplantae; Streptophyta; Magnoliopsida; Poales; Poaceae.